AAUCAACAAUCACAACUUGACAAAUUUUUAUACAUCAUCUUAAUCCUUGACAUAAAAUAAAAGAAUUUGACCACUUAAUUUUUCCCAGAAUCGUAUCUAUUUUUAGUAACAGCCUCAUUUGCAUAAUUCUGUAAAUUCAUAAUGAAACCAAGGAAAAAUCCAACUUUUUUAUGCCUUUUAAGAAUGACCCAGAAGCAUAUUAAAUGGGGUAGUUGAGUUUUUAGAGUAAUGUCAGCUGAAACUCAUCCAUUUUACUAUGUUAUGAUCAAUACAAAUGAAAAUUUAAACGAUUUGGCACAUUGCCAGGAGCAGGGACACAAAGGCGGGGUUUUUCAUACAUGAAUUUACAUGGUUUUCAUUCGCUUCUAUCUUGCAAGACCCAUUCCGGAUUUGUUUGCAACUUAUAUCGGUUUUAACUAUGGGGUAUGUUUUAUAUCAAAACAAAAUAUUAAGCUUGGCAAAUGACUAUUAUAUGUUAAUUUAUGCCUUGGAAGAAUGGUGAUUUUAGUCCCAAAUUGACACAUUUUGAUUUUGAUUUUAAUUAAAUUCUAAACACAAUUGGUACUAAAAUGGCUCAUAAAAUCAUUCGAACAAGUAAAAUCAAUUUGUCUGAAAAAUGAAAUAAGACGUAUUUGUACUGCAAGUCCAAAAAUCAAUAAAUUGUCUGAAACCAGGGAGUCCAUCUUUUAUGCUCUUCCAUUGACUUAUCUCCCUUGGGUAAGAUCUCAAACAUGUCAGCUCCCAGUGAUGGUUUGGCAGACAAAUGUUUACAGUGAAGUUUGUGACUUCAAUAAUCUAGGAUGAGCAUGUGGGCUAUUCCAGCCUUAUACAUCUACAUAUUACAAACUAUUUAAGAUAUCUGAAUGCACUAAAGACCAAAAUAGCAUUUCCAAAAAAAAAUAAUUACUGCCAAGAAAUUUGACAAUCAUGACAAUAAUUUAGUGAAUAAACAUGAUAAAUAUUGAUUGGAAAAAUAAGUCCAUGAACAGCAAAAAGUGUUUUUAGAUUUCAACGAGCAAAACAAAAGUAUUCCAAAUCAUUCUUCGUAAAAAAAAAAGUGAGCCAGUGGAACCACCUUGCUCGCACCAAAAUUGAGAUUGAGAGUGUCAAAACUGCUCUGGCGCACCAUCAAUAAAUCAACGACACUCUCUCUACGGUAGACUCUACCGUGGUAUUGAAACCAGCAUUGGUAACCAAACAUAUUCAUACAGAUACAGACUACCAUUCAUCUAUAUUUAGGAAGUCUGAAUAAUACUGAAAACUUAAUGGUGUAGAAUUUCCAACAGGACUCCUUAUUUUAUAUAAGACAAGGAGUGGUUUAUUUUCCCAUGGUUGUUACAUCAUCUUGUCUUUGAAUAUGCUCGAAGUACAGGGACUUUUAUGGAAUUCAUUGACAUGAUAGUCAAGCAAGAUGUCAACAUCUCGUCCAACCCUCUUCCAGCAAAGCCAAAGCUGACCAAGGAUCUUCACCCUUUCAAAACAGGCUGUAUACAGGACGAGUUAUUCCAGUAGGAACAGGGCUAUAUAUAUGCAAGCAAUGCUCAAUUAAGAUGAAUUUUUGUAAAAGUGACAAUAGCCAGGUCAAACUAAAUACAUGUAUAGAAGAAGAUAUUGAUCUAGACUCGCAGCUAACCUUUCUGUCAGUGUCAACAACAACUGAACUUUCACAGCAGUCAACAUCAGAUUGGGAGACUGAUAAUGCUUCUAACAGAAACAAUUUCAACCAACCAAACAAGCAACAGAAACUUUCCAACUUUAAAACAUCAGUUAAAUCUUCCAGGGGAUGAUGUCUCAAAAAAUAACAGUUCAUCAUUUAUGGAGAUUUUAAUGUUAUGGUUUUUCUUUUACAAGAAAGUUAAUGUACACUUGUUUUAUAGUAAAACCUAUAGCUGUCCAAGUAUAAAAAAACACAUUCAACUUUAUUGAAAUUGGAAGAUUCAUAUGACUUAUUUUAAUUCUGUUAUCUCCGAGGAUGUGAUGUAGAGCAUUAUAGGUACAGUAAUCUUAACAGCUAUCCAAUUUCAUUCAAAAUUCUUUAUAAAUUUUGCACUGGUAUAUAUAGACUAAGUAAUUUGUUUUUCGUCUAGUUAUGGGAUUUUUUUAUACCCCACGCAACGAGUUGCGGAGGGUAUAAUGUUUUUGACCCGUCCGUCCGUCUGUCCGUCCAUCCGUCAGUCCGUCAGUCCUGUUUCUUGUCAUCGCAACUCCUCUCAAACCACACAACAGAAUUUCACGAAACCUUUUUAGAUAAUAAGGACAUACUACGUAGAUGUGCAUAUCGACAGGAAAUUACGAUUUAAUUUUUUUUCCAGGAGUUACGCCCCUUUGAACUUAUUUACUUUAAUGUACUACUGCAACAGUUUGUCAUCGCAACUCCUCUCAAACCUCACAACAGAAUUUCAUGAAACCUUUUCAGAUAAUAAGGACAUACUACGUAGAUGUGCAUAUCGACAGGAAAUUACGAUUUAAUUUUUUUUCCAGGAGUUACGCCCCUUUGAACUUAUUUGCCCAAUAUACUACUGCAACCUUUUGUCAUCGCAACUCCUCUCAAACCACACAACAGAAUUUCAUGAAACCUUUUCAGAUAAUAAGGACAUACUACGUAGAUGUGCAUAUCGACAGGAAAUUACGAUUCAAUUGUUUUUCCAGGAGUUACGCCCCUUUGAACUUUUUUGCCCAAUAUACUACUGCAACCUUUUGUCAUUGCAACUCCUCUCAAACCACACAACAGAAUUUCAUGAAACCUUUUCAGGUAAUAAGGACAUACUACGUUGAUGUGCAUAUCGACAGGAAAUUACGAUUCAAUUUUUUUUCCAGGAAUUACGCCCCUUUGAACUUAUUUGCCCAAUAUACUACUGCAACCUUUUGUCAUCGCAACUCCUCUCAAACCACACAACAGAAUUUCAUGAAACUGUGUAGAUAAUAAGGACAUACUAGGUUGAUGUGCAUAUUGACAGGAAAUUAUGAUUCAAUUUUUUUUUCUGAUACAAUUUUUUUUUUCUUACACUUAUUUUAUUUCUCCAAUGACAAUGUGGGGACGUGGGGUAUGUGAGCGCGCUCACUAAGGUUCUUUCAUUUUAGAAGCACUCAUGAUUUUCAUGUUUGUAUUGACCACAUUGCAGCAACAUAGAUAUAGGUACCUGGCAAAUCUUGCCUUGUUAGCAUACUAGGCUCAAAGGGUCAUAAAAAAAUGUCCAUCACUAACUGUCUGUUAAAAUCAUGUUUACAGUUUUCACUUUUAAACCAUCAUCUUAAUAACUUUAGAAGAAGUGUCAUACAUAUAUAUAUAUGUAUACAAAAUUUAAAAACUUUUCAAUAUAUAUAUAGAUUCUACCACUGCAUCGAGUGUGAUACGAUAUUUAUCCACUCGAGACAGUUAAAUUUUCAAAUUUAAAACGCGAGGCUCGCCGAGCGUUUUAAAUAUUUAAAAUUUAACUGUCGAGAGUGGAUAAAUAUCGUAUUACACGAGAUUUGGUGGUGGAAUCUGUUUCUCUAAUGAUUUUCAAACAAUACGCAGGCAAAUUUAUUCCUUCUUUUCGAAUGAUCUGCAAAAAGAUGUGUUCUUUCUAUGUGACGUCAUCAGGCAUGGUCGCCUUUUUUCAUGCCGUCACAAUAGGAAAUUCAGAGGAGAGCAAGAAAAUUCGACGUCAUAAUCGGAUUUUAACCAAUGAAGAACUGAGAUCAAACGAACCACAUGUUGAUUAAAUUUUUUUUUAUACAAUGGGUGCAGAAAGGGAUAAAUUGACGAAGAAUUAGAGAAAUAUAUAUAUAUUUGAUAAAAACUAUCAACAUGACAAGAUCUAAAUACCCAAAAUUUUUCUGAAAAAUUGGACAUAACAUCUAUGAGCUAUUGUCCCUGAAAUGUGUAAAUUUACAAAUUUUCACAGUUUUCUGCUACUAUCCGACAACUAUAUCAAUAUAUUAUAAGAAUAAAUUGCAAAAGUGGUCAGAAGAAACUUUUUUUUUACAGUCUAAACUUAUUCUGAAUUGUUUAACUUCUAAUUUAAAUUGAUUGCGUUUGAAAUAUGUGUUUUUUAUCGUUUUAGGUGCACAAUUUGUCAAUACGAUCUAUUUGAGCUCCUGGGAGCCUCUAGAUUUAUAAUGAAUAAUUUGUUUUUAUGUAUGAUUAUUUUCUUAAUGUAUUAAAUGAAACAUUAAUUAUUCUU
Long non-coding RNA from Mytilus californianus (California mussel), 4166 nucleotides. RefSeq lists it as uncharacterized. The record is from RefSeq and is a predicted model, not a curated record. The transcript has 3 exons. NCBI's taxonomy places the organism in Eukaryota, Metazoa, Mollusca, Bivalvia, Mytilida, Mytilidae.